CGCCCGGCCUCCGAACGUCGGGCACCUAUCCCCGACUCAUGUCCUCUCUCGUGCGGUCGCCGGCGCUGCCACCGUGUGCGAUCUCCGUCGUCGCCAUGCCUCAACCAGUGAUAGUUCACCUCCUUCCUGGGGUAACCUCACUUCUUCUCACACCUUGCUGGGUAAGUUCGACUCUUCCCGCACCUUCUUGCUAGGGUUUCUUCUUGCGAUUUGGGCAAGAGACUAGAGUCCGAUUUGAGUGGGGAAAGAGGCGGCGAACAAGAAGUUCGGCGUCACGCUUGGACUAUCCAUGGUGUUCAUCGUCGUCAUGUAUGGGUUGCUCGUCCUCACCAAACCCACACUCGUUCGAGCCGUCAUGUACGAGGAUGCGUGGGGCUCGGCUAUGCGGCUAGACGCCUCCUCCUGGGACCACGCCAUGGAGGCGAAGAGGAGGAGGAUUGUAUGGGCGUUGGGCAAUGCCGGCAGCACCAUGCAUGGAUGAGAAGUAGGCAGCAAGCGGGCAGACAGAUCUCGGCAAGGCUGGUGUGCGUAUGGGCAGAUCCUGUUUCUUUCUCUUGUCCCCUUUCCUCAGUUAGCCUAAUUUGGUUCCUAUGUUUCUGUCAAAUUGACUUUCUGAUGUUUAUCCAAGACUAGUAGAAAAAUUCAAAGUGAGGGGAAAGCAAAUGGCCGUGCUUAAUUAUUCAAAGGCUAGUUUCUUGCCUGUUCAGCAGUAGCGUCUAAGUGCAAAGAUAUACAAGGUUGGGAGUGCUAUUGUUUGCAGAGGUAUUGUCAACGAAGAUCACUCCAUUGAGACCGAAAACUGAUGUUACCAUCGGUGAUGCUACGGAAGAGUAAUCAUGUUUGCUAGCUUUCUGUGUCUGUGGCCGGUCUUCCAGAGUUUGAUGGGGAAAAUGAGCAAAGAAGGAAUAUUUUUCUGUCAUUGAGGUCUUAUAUAAUCUAAAGUAUAGUGCUUUCAUAAUGUUGAUGAAUUUUUUUUUGUUGCGUCACAUGGAACAUGCAAGUCUAGAGGAAGGGGAAGGCAAGACCAAGACCUUGGGUUGCACCAGAAUGAAUAUGAUGAUUUUUUUGUAAUUUAGAUGCAUGAAUGGAGAUGAUUUUUUAUGA
Long non-coding RNA from Zea mays, 1104 nucleotides. RefSeq lists it as uncharacterized. The transcript is spliced from 2 exons. NCBI's taxonomy places the organism in Eukaryota, Viridiplantae, Streptophyta, Magnoliopsida, Poales, Poaceae. The record is from RefSeq and is a predicted model, not a curated record.